RNAcentral lists this ribosomal RNA (388 nucleotides) under uncultured bacterium. RNAcentral's name for it is "bacterial SSU rRNA". It matches the Rfam family "Bacterial small subunit ribosomal RNA", at positions 976 to 1381 of the family's 1533-position model. The record is from RNAcentral.
UACCCUUGACAUCCCGAUCGCGGUUUCCAGAGAUGGAUUCCUUCAGUUAGGCUGGAUCGGUGACAGGUGCUGCAUGGCUGUCGUCAGCUCGUGUCGUGAGAUGUUGGGUUAAGUCCCGCAACGAGCGCAACCCUCAUCCUUAGUUGCCAUCACGUUUGGGUGGGCACUCUAAGGAAACUGCCGGUGGCAAGCCGGAGGAAGGUGGGGAUGACGUCAAGUCCUCAUGGCCCUUACGGGUAGGGCUACACACGUGUUACAAUGGCAGUGACAAUGGGAUAAUCCCAAAAAGCUGUCUCAGUUCAGAUUGUCCUCUGCAACUCGAGGGCAUGAAGGUGGAAUCGCUAGUAAUCGUGGAUCAGCAUGCCACGGUGAAUACGUUCCCGGGCCU